This is a non-coding RNA of Podarcis lilfordi (Lilford's wall lizard), 76 nucleotides long. The record is from the annotation of a GenBank genome assembly. Lineage: Eukaryota; Metazoa; Chordata; Lepidosauria; Squamata; Lacertidae.
UGCUUCCAAUAGCUCAGUUAGUAGAGCGUGAGACCCUUAAUCUUGAGGUUGUUGGUUCAAAGCCCCCAUUGGGCAA